GGGGGGGGGGGGGGGGGGGGGGGGGGGGGGGGGGGCGGGCGGGAGGGCCCGGCGGGUGUGGGGGGCUCGGGUGGCGGGCGGGUGAGUGACACGGGCGUAACCUGCCCUUGACUUUGGGAUGACUUCAGGCAACUGGGGCUACUACCGGAUAGGAGCUCCUGCUGCAUGGUGGGGGUUGGAAAGUUUCGGCGGUGGGGGAUGGACUCGCGGCUUAUCAGCUUGGUGGUGGGGUAGUGGCUUACCAAGGCUUUGACGGGUAGCCGGCCUGAGAGGGUGACCGGCCACAUUGGGACUGAGAUACGGCCCAGACUCCUACGGGAGGCAGCAGUGGGGAAUAUUGCACAAUGGGCGGAAGCCUGAUGCAGCAACGCCGCGUGCGGGAUGACGGCCUUCGGGUUGUAAACCGCUUUCGCCUGUGACGAAGCGUGAGUGACGGUAAUGGGUAAAGAAGCACCGGCUAACUACGUG
RNAcentral lists this ribosomal RNA (468 nucleotides) under uncultured bacterium. RNAcentral describes it as "partial 16S ribosomal RNA". The stretch from base 49 to 468 matches the Rfam family "Bacterial small subunit ribosomal RNA", at positions 36 to 507 of the family's 1533-position model. The record is from RNAcentral.